This 66-nucleotide transfer RNA is filed under the name Menida musiva. Its description in RNAcentral is "tRNA-Glu". It matches the Rfam family "tRNA". From Rfam's summary of the family: Transfer RNA (tRNA) molecules are approximately 80 nucleotides in length. The record is from RNAcentral. Lineage: Eukaryota; Metazoa; Arthropoda; Insecta; Hemiptera; Pentatomidae.
AUUUAUAUAGUUUAAAGCUAAAACCUCUCAUUUUCAAUGAGAAAAUAAGAUUUAUCUUUAUAAGUA